CCCGGAAUCCCGCCAGACCCGCGGCAGAGACGGGGGACCCAGAGUUCCCGGGCCUGUUCCCCGCAGGCCCUUGGGGUGAAGCCGCCACGUGCGGCCGGACGGCCUCGUCCGAACCCGACAGCUAACCUCGCAGGCGUUGAGAGGCAAAUA
Molecule: small RNA, 150 nt
Filed under: Arthrobacter sp.
Lineage: Bacteria; Bacillati; Actinomycetota; Actinomycetes; Micrococcales; Micrococcaceae
Description: c-di-AMP sequence
Rfam family: c-di-AMP riboswitch aptamer (ydaO/yuaA leader)
About the family: This family represents a conserved RNA structure found upstream of the ydaO and yuaA genes in Bacillus subtilis and related genes in other bacteria. The ydaO/yuaA element is thought to act as a genetic "off" switch for the ydaO and yuaA genes in its native state.
Source: RNAcentral